This is a small nuclear RNA of Peromyscus californicus insignis, 168 nucleotides long. RefSeq annotates it as U1 spliceosomal RNA. The record is from RefSeq and is a predicted model, not a curated record. NCBI's taxonomy places the organism in Eukaryota, Metazoa, Chordata, Mammalia, Rodentia, Cricetidae. The transcript has a single exon.
AUACUUACAUGGCAGAGGAAUUACCAUGAUCGUGAAGGUGGUUUUCUCAGCAAGGCUUAUCCACUGCACUCCAGAUGUGCUGACCCCUGCAGUUUCCCCAAAUGUGAGGUGCAGGGGGGAACUUGACUAUCAUUUGUGGUAGAGGGGGAGCAUUUGUGCUCUCCCCUU